This 330-nucleotide ribosomal RNA is filed under the name uncultured eukaryote. Its description in RNAcentral is "partial 18S ribosomal RNA". It matches the Rfam family "Eukaryotic small subunit ribosomal RNA", at positions 1470 to 1796 of the family's 1831-position model. The record is from RNAcentral.
CCCUUAGAUGUUCUGGGCCGCACGCGUGCUACACUGAUGCAUUCAACGAGUCUAAAACCUGGUCUGAUAGGGCUGAGUAAUCUUUUGAAAGUGCAUCGUGAUUGGGAUAGAUGAUUGCAAUUCUUCAUCUUCAACGAGGAAUGCCUAGUAAACGCAAGUCAUCAGCUUGCAUUGAUUACGUCCCUGCCCUUUGUACACACCGCCCGUCGCUCCUACCGAUUGAAUGAUCCGAUGAAUACCAUGGAUUGAGAGUACGAAUAGGUUCGCUUAUUUCUGCUGCUCGAGAAGUGGAGUAAAUCUUAUCAUUUAGAGGAAGGAGAAGUCGUAACA